GGGAGCGGGACUCCCUGCGCCCUCUCGCGAAGGUCUUUUCCAGCAGCUCGUGAGAGCGCCGUGUUAGCGGGUUCGCCAAGCCGCGCUGGGAACUUUUCCCACUUCGCAGUGUGUGGUUGGGGGCUUGAAGGCGCCGGAUGUAGACUGUCGAGGCUCGGGCUGUUGGUCUAGCAGGGCUGUUUGUACCCCUUGCAUUGUCAUUUUUUUGCGCUAUAAAGCUGCAUCACGUAGAAGCA
RNAcentral lists this long non-coding RNA (236 nucleotides) under Homo sapiens (human). RNAcentral's name for it is "novel transcript, antisense to TSR1". Lineage: Eukaryota; Metazoa; Chordata; Mammalia; Primates; Hominidae. The record is from RNAcentral.